UUUUUCUUUUUUUUUUGUCUUUUUAGAGCCAAACCCAUGGCAUGUGGGGGUUCCCAGGCUAGGGGUCGAAUCAGAGCUACAGCUGCCGGCCUACAUCACAGCCACAGCAACACCAGAUCCGAGCCCCGUCUGUGACCUAUGCCACAGCUCAGGACAACCCAGAUCCUUAACCCACUGAGCAAGGCCAGGGAUCCAAACUGCAACCUCAUGGUUCCCAGUAGGACUCGUUUCCGCUGCGCCACCACGGGGACUCCUCAGGUCACUUUUUCUUCUAGGACUUCUUGCCUUCAUUUUGAAAUGCAAAUCAGAAGCAAGCUCUGAGCUUUCCUGUCCACGCAAUACCUGCAGCAUCUGCAGGCCCGGUGCACCCACGCAAAUACACCUGGGCACGGUCACCAGGGAGUUUCCCAUCAGACCAUUGAUGUCAGCCAGGUGGCACCUUCGGAUGUACUUUAACCUAGUACCCCGUGUGCUGACGACAAGUGCCAAGCUCUUGACAAAUGUCUUCUGAAGGGAUCUGUGCGGAAAUUAAACAUGUGAUGGUGGAUCUCUGAGAGAAACGGAGCAUCCCUUGAAACGAGUGGUGGGCAGGAGCCAGCCUUGCAAGCGUGAGAACAGCUGUUAAACUGCAGAAGCUCUACAAGCUGCUGGUGGUCAACCACUGAGACCGUGGCAGGAAGAUGUGCCCAGAGCACCCCUCAACCGCCCAUCCUCUCGCCUCUGCCCGACCGGAGAGUCUCUCUGCUGGCACAGCACUGCAUGACAGGGUCAGAAGGAUUCUAAAAUAUGGGGCUUGCUGGGCUGAGCCGCCAGGCACUUUCUGUAGGCGGACAUCUCAAAAAUGACUCCCUGGAAUUAAAAUCGCGGUCAAUGAAAACCUAGGAUUCUCUCCACGGCCCCGCCCCUCUCUCCUUCUAACACAGACACAUUAUCUCGGAGGAGAAAAUUGACUAGAAAUGCCACUAUUUUAUUUGACCAUUAGUAGCAAUCAAACUUUUCACAGCUGAUCAACAGAAAGCUCAGCCAGGAGUUCCCAUUGCGGCUCAGCACGUUAAGAACCCGACAUCAUGUUCGUGAGGAUGCAGGUUUGAUCCCUGGCCUCGCUCAUGGGUUAAGGAUCUGGAGUUGCUGUGAGCUGCUGCAUAAGUCAGAUGUGGCUCAGAUCCGGUGUGGCUGUGGCUGAGGCAUGGGCUGGCAGCUGCAGCUCUGAUUGGACCCCUGGCCUGGGAACUUCCAUGUGCCACAGGUGCAGCCCUAAAAAGAAAAAAAUAAAAGUAAAAAAAAAAAUUAAAAAAAAAAGAAUGCUUAGCCUACGGCUCUUUAUUCUGCACCCCCCUUCUAAUUCCCAGAAAGAAAUAUUUAUUGUCUCCAAAAUCCCAUAGGAGAACUAAGCUCUUAAGAAAUUUUGCUCCCUAUCAACUCCGAAUACAAUAUUCUGGUGGAUAAAGGACAGAAACCAGGGACCCACAAGUGAGUAUCUCUCACAGUCCACCUUCAUUCAACUCUUUGCUGACUUUGCUCACAGAGGAGAGGGUAUAACAUGAAUAAUUCAAAUCCCCAGACAACCCAAAAAACUACAUUUGAGCCCAACUCUCAACUACAGCCAUAACCAGGGAGAAAAUAAGCCAGCCUACAUUUCAUUAUCUUCCAUUUCUCUUGUCUGAACCAACUGAGGAUGGCAUUGAGGGGUAAAACAAAUGAUCCAAGAGGGAAAAGGAAUAAUCCACAAACUAUAUAAACAGCUCCUUUUAUGAGCAAGAGUUGACAGUGUUUGAAAUUGGAGUAAGGUCUCCAAUAACAUUUCAGAGGACUGGUAUCUAGGAAGCGAGGUGAGUGAUGACAAGAGGUCGCCUACACCUAAAGUGAAUCUUCUAUUAAAAAUCACAGCGGAAUAUGCAGUGUCAACUCCGGUGCAGUCUGUGUGACAUUCCCAUGGAAUUAUAUGUAUAUAAAAUGGUUAAAAAUAACAAAGCAGAUGAAAAACAGUCUCGUCGACCUUCAUUGCUAGUAAGAGUAAUAUGUUCCUUCAAUCCUGGGGUUUUACACCAGCAGUGAUCAAAACAGCUCCAUAGCAAUAAAAAAUCAUCAUGCCCUCCUUUCUUUGGAUUGCACUUUUCCAUUUGCAAGGCUCUUCUUCACUGUCUGUAGGGUGAACAAGCAGCUAUGAUUAUCUCCAUUUCACAGAAGGGGACAGGCAGGUGUAGGCUUUAAAUGAUUUGUAGGGUGUUGCAAGGGUGAUAAGUAGCAGAAAGGGAAUUUGGCCCCAGGCUUCCAAGAGUGUGUUCUUCCCACUGUGCCACAUGGGCCCUCAAUAGUCCCAUCACCAUGCCUGCCUCACCAAGCACUGGAUGACAAAGUCUCUCACCAAGCGGUAUAAAGUAAACCCUUACCCAGGGAAUCCUGCAGCCAAGUUUCUGAAGUGUAAGCUGAAGGCAUACAAGAGAAAGAGGCUCAUGAGGGCAAUAACCGAAGCCAGCUUUUAACAAUGAAUCCAUGUCCUUCCAUAUAUAAAGAUAUGCAUGACAUCUACAUACACAAUAGAAUGGCUAAAAAGAGACCUGACAAUAACAAGUGUUGGCAAGGAUGUGGAGCAACUAGAACUCUGAUAUGUUGCUGCUGAGAAUGCAAACACUCACUCACCAUAGGGCCCAGGAAUUCCACCCCUUGGUGAUCACCCCAAAGAAACAAAAACAUAUUUUCCCACAAAGACUGUCUAUGAAUGUUUAACAGCAGCUUUAUUCAGGAUCGCCCAUUCAUACAUUGGAAAACUACCCAGCACUAAAAAGGAAUGGAUUUCUGAUGGAUGCAACCACAUGGAUGAAUCUCAAAAGUAUUAUACUGAGUAAAAGAAGUCAGACCCAAAAGGCUGAUUCCACCUGUAGGACAUUCUACAAAAGAAAAUCGUAGAAGAAGGGAGCAGAUCGGGGCUGCUUGAGGAUGAGGUUGAAAACUCUAAAAGGGCACCAGAGGAGCUCUUAGGGUGAUGGAACUGCUCUGUGUCUCAAAUGAGGUGAGAGAUACAAGGCCACAUACACUGUCAAAAUGCAUGGAAUUGUACACCUACAAAGUGAACUGUAUUAUAUGCAAAUUAGACUUCAAUGAAUUUCACUUAAAGGGAAAAACCUGAAUGAGGGCCAGAGGUUUUUAAAUCUGCUUCUAUAAGAUCAGAUUCCUUCAAAUCCUACUUCUUAGACACGGGGUACCUGAGAGCAAAGUGACGCUGGAUGUGGGGUGGAAUGAAUGGGACUCGGGCGCACUUUGCCUCCAGCUGACCAUACCCCUUUGGGAGCCCUGGUCCCUCUCUGAGCAUCACCCCACUCCCAGGCAGAGCAAGGACGAUGCCAGGUCUAUGCCUGACAGAUUAUAAUGGGUGGUAGUUUCUUCAAUUACAGAACCUGGGACAGGGGUCUGGCAUCAGGAUGGACGGUCUUUGCUGUAAAGAUUUUUUUUUUUAAAGCAAAGUGCAGCAUCCUUAGGCAGAAAAAAUUGAAGGGAAAUGAAUUGGCAGCAAAUUGUUAUGCUCAGCUUCUCAAACACAUUUGAAUGAGUGAGUCUUUAAAAGCUUCUGUCAGCUCACUUUAGAAAUGAAAUUUGAUAUUAUUAAGACUAUCUGAUACGAAACAAUUAUAUAAGUAUAAAUGGGAGAUUCAUUUAAAGGGUCAUGAUGAAAUCCCUGGAAAAUGCCUUCCUGGUCCUUUUCUUUUUUUUUUUUUUUCUUUCAUCUGACUAAAUAAGGUCAGAUAAGAUGAGGACAAAACUAAGCCAGCAUGCAGAAUUCAAAUUACUUGAAUUACUUUUUUUCUUUUCUGCAGCUGAACUUCAGAAGGUGGGAGGGGACGUGAACAGCCUCAACUGAAGCUAAGUCCUUCUGUUCUGUACCAAAUGGCAAUUACUCUUCAACUAUUUUUUUUCAAUCCAUCCACUCAGCAAACAUCCACCACCUCAAACAAAUUUGCUAAAAGAGGCAGAAGAGCGUAGGGGUUCCAAACACAGCUUAAAAAUCGAGACUUGCUGAGGCUGAGGGAGUGUGUGUCAAGGCCAUUUUAUUAUUUUCUCUACUUUAUACAUUUGUAAAAUUCUAUAAUAAGAAAAGUGACAAAGAUGACAGGGGGAUAACAAGUGUUCAGCAGAGAGAGAGAGAGGAAGAGAGAGAGAAGAUGCUCCAGGAAGCCAGAAGACCAGGGUGCAGACCCCUGCUCCUACAUGCUUGCUGUGUGCCCUUAGGCGAGUUUCUUAACCUUUCUGUGCUUCGGUUUCCUCUUGGUAAAAUAAGGGUAAUAACAAUACCAACUCACAAGGUUGUUGUGUGGAAGAAAUGAGUUUAAAGCACAUUUCCUUUUUUUUAAUCUUUUUUUUCUUGUCUUUUUUAACAGUCACACCUGUGAUAUAUGGAAGCCGGCCUAAGGGCAACUGAGGCCACAGCCACAGCCCUGAAUCCUUAACCCACUGAGCAAGGCCAGGGGUGGAACCUGCAUCCUCACAAAGACAACUUCGGGUUCUUAACCCAUUGAGCCACAAUGGGAACUCCUUAAAGCCCAUUUUUUAUACAUGUAAGGGAGCAGAGAGACAUUUAAAAGUACAUACCAUAUGUCAGACAUUAUACAGAGAGUUGUGACAUAUACAAAUACACACACACACACACACACAUUCCUAAAGCCUCUAAAUCAGUACAAAGUAGUUCACAGACUAUAUUAAAUCUCUGAUCCUGAGUUGAUUCCCUGCAUUGUGCUCCGGUCAGGUUUCGUAACAAAUUUAUCGAAUGGGCUGAACCCCAUGGAGUAAAAAUGCAAUGGCUCCAUUUUUCUCCCAUGGCCUCCACCACGGUGCUCUGUCAGGUCCCUUCCCUGUCCGCUGAUCAUCUCAGACAGAGCCGUCAGCCUUCUCCUCCCUCUCAGUUACAAGAACAAAAUAUGCUAGGAAAUCACGACCGAAAGUGAGGAUUUAAAAGGUGCAACACAGCCCUGUGGGACCCCUUCAACUCCCGUCCAGCUCCCAGCAUCGUCCCUCUCCUCAGCUGGGGCCCCAUGCGAGGGUCAAGGCCCCACACAAGCAGAUGGGCCGCCGGCUGGGCUUCCAGGCUUCCUCCCCUCUGCCCCCCAACCUCCUGGCUCCUCCAAGACCCAGCAGAGGAGAGUGGAUGGGACAGAGCAAGGCAAGCAAGCUCCCACCUUUUGAAGACUUUGCUGCUCCAUUUUCUUUAGAUUCCACAUAUGUUGUGAUGAUGGCUGUACAAUUAUAAAUAUAAUUUUUAAAAAUUUUAAAAAAGAAAAAAAAGAAAAACUUUGCUGCUCCAGUCUGUUGAUACCUCCUGGCAGGGGAUCAAAGGUGAGCUUCCCUGUGUGGCAUUUCCAAGGGCUCUGGCCAGGCCGUGAGGCUCUCUGUACUGUACCUGAUACAGUGAUGAGCCCUCCUAGGGACUGUAUUGAACCUGACCUUGGCGGUCUCAGUGCCCAUGUCAGCUCCACAGCAGACCCCCCCUUCCAGCCUGCCUCUUGCCCCGCCCCAGGUCUGCAGGGGUCUGUGGGAGACUCGCACCUGCUUACCAUGUAGGUGGAAGGAGACACUGCGAGGCACCCACCCUGCCACCUGCUGGCCUUCUGACUUUAGAAUUCCCCCAGCCUCCCCCGCCCCAAUCCAAGAAACUCAUGUCAGUUUCUUCCACAUUCCAGAGGCCCCUAAGAACAUUCGCAUCCAACACGGCUCCCUGGUCCAAAGAUGAGCCUAUAAGAGCUAUGGCCCAGAAAAGUAAAUAAUUAAAAAAAAAAAAAGGAGUUCCCGUUGUGGUGCAUCGGGUUAAGAACCCAACUAGUAUCUGUGAGGAUGUGGCCCCUCUCAGUGGGUUAAGGAUCCGGCAUUGCCAUGGGCUGUGGUGUAGGUCGCAGAUGCAGCUAGGAUCCACGUUGCUAUGGCUGUGCAGCUCCGAUUAGAUCCCUAGCCUGGGAACUUCCACAGGGGCAGCCCUUUAAAAAAAAAAAA
This 5976-nucleotide long non-coding RNA is filed under the name Sus scrofa (pig). RNAcentral's name for it is "lncRNA (ENSSSCG00015007616.1)". Lineage: Eukaryota; Metazoa; Chordata; Mammalia; Artiodactyla; Suidae. The record is from RNAcentral.